ACGGGAGGCAGCAGUGGGGAAUAUUGCACAAUGGGCGCAAGCCUGAUGCAGCGACGCCGCGUGAGCGAAGAAGUAUUUCGGUAUGUAAAGCUCUAUCAGCAGGGAAGAUAAUGACGGUACCUGACUAAGAAGCACCGGCUAAAUACGUGCCAGCAGCCGCGGUAAUACGUAUGGUGCAAGCGUUAUCCGGAUUUACUGGGUGUAAAGGGAGCGUAGGCGGUCUAGCAAGUCUGAUGUGAAAACCCGGGGCUCAACUUCGGGAUUGCAUUGGAAACUGUCAGACUAGAGUGUCGGAGGGGUAAGUGGAAUUCCUAGUGUAGCGGUGAAAUGCAUAGAUAUUAGGAGGAACACCAGUGGCGAAGGCGGCUUACUGGACGAUUACUGACGCUGAGGCUCGAAAGCGUGGGGAGCAAACAGGAUUAGAUACCCUGGUA
Molecule: ribosomal RNA, 434 nt
Filed under: uncultured Pseudobutyrivibrio sp.
Lineage: Bacteria; Bacillati; Bacillota; Clostridia; Lachnospirales; Lachnospiraceae
Description: partial 16S ribosomal RNA
Rfam family: Bacterial small subunit ribosomal RNA
Source: RNAcentral